This 254-nucleotide ribosomal RNA is filed under the name uncultured bacterium. RNAcentral describes it as "partial 16S ribosomal RNA". It matches the Rfam family "Bacterial small subunit ribosomal RNA", at positions 524 to 776 of the family's 1533-position model. The record is from RNAcentral.
UACGUAGGGGGCAAGCGUUGUCCGGAUUUAUUGGGCGUAAAGAGCUCGUAGGUGGCUUGGUAAGUCGGAUGUGAAAUCUCCAGGCUCAACCUGGAGGGGUCAUUCGAUACUGCCAUGACUAGAGGUCGGUAGGGGAGUGUGGAAUUCCUGGUGGAGCGGUGAAAUGCGCAGAUAUCAGGAGGAACACCCGUAGCGAAGGCGGCACUCUGGGCUGAUUCUGACACUGAGGAGCGAAAGCGUGGGGAGCGAACAGG